GACGAACGCUGGCGGCGUGCUUAACACAUGCAAGUCGAACGAAGCACUUUAUUAUGAUUUCUUCGGAAUGACGAUUUAGUGACUGAGUGGCGGACGGGUGAGUAACGCGUGGGUAACCUGCCUUAUACAGGGGGAUAACAGUUAGAAAUGACUGCUAAUACCGCAUAAGCGCACAGGAUUGCAUGAUCUAGUGUGAAAAACUCCGGUGGUAUAAGAUGGACCCGCGUCUGAUUAGCUGGUUGGUGAGGUAACGGCCCACCAAGGCGACGAUCAGUAGCCGACCUGAGAGGGUGACCGGCCACAUUGGGACUGAGACACGGCCCAGACUCCUACGGGAGGCAGCAGUGGGGAAUAUUGCACAAUGGAGGAGACGUCUGAUGCAGCGACGCCGCGUGAGUGAAGAAGUAGUUCGCUAUGUAAAGCUCUAUCAGCAGGGAAGAUAGUGACGGUACCUGACUAAGAAGCUCCGGCUAAA
RNAcentral lists this ribosomal RNA (475 nucleotides) under uncultured bacterium. RNAcentral describes it as "bacterial SSU rRNA". It matches the Rfam family "Bacterial small subunit ribosomal RNA", at positions 28 to 501 of the family's 1533-position model. The record is from RNAcentral.